RNAcentral lists this ribosomal RNA (1017 nucleotides) under Paussus vanrooni. RNAcentral describes it as "partial 28S ribosomal RNA". It matches the Rfam family "Eukaryotic large subunit ribosomal RNA", at positions 151 to 959 of the family's 3401-position model. Lineage: Eukaryota; Metazoa; Arthropoda; Insecta; Coleoptera; Carabidae. The record is from RNAcentral.
GGGAGAACUCUUUACCAAUAUUUAUUUUAAUAUUGUUCAAGUCCUUCUUGAAUGGGGCCACACUUCCGUAGAGGGUGCCAGGCCCGUAGAACUUUUAUUUUUAUUAUUGGUGAGUUUCUCCUUAGAGUCGAGUUGCUUGAGAGUGCAGCUCUAAUUAGGUGGUAAACUCCAUCUAAGGCUAAAUAUAACCACGAGGCCGAUAGCUAACAAGUGCCGUGAGGGAAAGUUGAAAAGAACUUUGAAGAGAGAGUUCAAAAGUACGUGAAACCGUUUAGAAGUAAACCUGUUAUACUCCUAUAAUUAUACCAUAUGCAGAAAGAUUCAACAUGCUUUGCCGAAUACAACACUACAUUAAUUAUUUUUACAUAUAUGUAUAUAUAAUUUAUUAUAUAUGUGUAAUUGUAUAUUUGAGACGGUACAAUAUACUAAUUGUGGAAUUUUUCUUUUCCAAAGCGUUCUAUAAUUCAGUCAUAUUGUUCGCUCAAUUUUUGUAUUGUAAAGUUUGUAUCGGAGCUGUGCACUUCUUUCUGUAUAUUUGCGUUGCGACACGUUGUAUGUAUCGUUUUUCCUAUAUACAUACACACAUGUGUAGUAUGUAUAUUGGUGUUAUGGCCUACAAAGAUUAGACCGAGGAAUUUAAGUUGCAUUGCACACUUUUAUUACCAGGACUUGUAGUGUAAGUUGAUCCUAACGAUCAAUGCAACGUUAACAAUUCUAUAAAGUAAUGUAUCGCUCUUGCAUGUGAUAUCAUUUAUUUUCUGUCAGCAACGUAUUUAAUAAUAAGAGUAAUAACAGGACCCGUCUUGAAACACGGACCAGGGAGUCUAGCAUAUUUGCAAGUCAUCGAGUUUAAAUAAAACUCAUAGACACAAUUAACGUAAAAGGUGUACAGUUGCUCACGCCCAAACAUCACACAUCUCUGUGUGUGUGUAUGUAUGUGUGCGUGUGUUAAACUCUCACCAAGGGAAGAUGAGUAGUGGAUAUUUGAAAACUAUUUCGCACUCAUAGGGCGUUCCG